GCUUAAGUAUUUUAAUUAAAAUAUUGUUUUGUGGGAUCAAUGAUAUGGUUAAUAUUACCAUCUUAGGCC
This 69-nucleotide transfer RNA is filed under the name Thrinchus schrenkii. RNAcentral describes it as "tRNA-His". Lineage: Eukaryota; Metazoa; Arthropoda; Insecta; Orthoptera; Pamphagidae. The record is from RNAcentral.